CCUACGGGUGGCUGCAGUGGGGAAUAUUGGACAAUGGGGGGAACCCUGAUCCAGCCAUGCCGCGUGUGUGAAGAAGGCCCUCGGGUUGUAAAACACUUUCAGUGAGGAAGAACGCCUGGUGGUUAAUACCCAUCAGGAAAGACAUCACUCACAGAAGAAGCACCGGCUAACUCCGUGCCAGCAGCCGCGGUAAUACGGAGGGUGCGAGCGUUAAUCGGAAUUACUGGGCGUAAAGCGCGCGUAGGUGGCUUGAUAAGCCGGUUGUGAAAGCCCCGGGCUCAACCUGGGAACGGCAUCCGGAACUGUCAAGCUAGAGUGCAGGAGAGGAAGGUAGAAUUCCCGGUGUAGCGGUGAAAUGCGUAGAGAUCGGGAGGAAUACCAGUGGCGAAGGCGGCCUUCUGGACUGACACUGACACUGAGGUGCGAAAGCGUGGGUAGCAAACAGGAUUAGAUACCCUUGUAGUC
Molecule: ribosomal RNA, 465 nt
Filed under: Vreelandella stevensii
Lineage: Bacteria; Pseudomonadati; Pseudomonadota; Gammaproteobacteria; Oceanospirillales; Halomonadaceae
Description: partial 16S ribosomal RNA
Rfam family: Bacterial small subunit ribosomal RNA
Source: RNAcentral